AGCGAACGCUGGCGGCAGGCCUAACACAUGCAAGUCGAACGAACUCUUCGGAGUUAGUGGCGGACGGGUGAGUAACACGUGGGAACGUGCCUUUUGGUUCGGAAUAACUCAGGGAAACUUGUGCUAAUACCGAAUGUGCCCUUCGGGGGAAAGAUUUAUCGCCAUUAGAGCGGCCCGCGUCUGAUUAGCUAGUUGGUGAGGUAACGGCUCACCAAGGCGACGAUCAGUAGCUGGUCUGAGAGGAUGACCAGCCACACUGGGACUGAGACACGGCCAGACUCCUACGGGAGGCAGCAGUGGGGAAUCUUGCGCAAUGGGCGAAAGCCUGACGCAGCCAUGCCGCGUGAAUGAUGAAGGUCUUAGGAUUGUAAAAUUCUUUCACCGGGGACGAUAAUGACGGUACCCGGAGAAGAAGCCCCGGCUAACUUCGUG
Molecule: ribosomal RNA, 432 nt
Filed under: uncultured bacterium
Lineage: Bacteria
Description: partial 16S ribosomal RNA
Rfam family: Bacterial small subunit ribosomal RNA
Source: RNAcentral